This 618-nucleotide ribosomal RNA is filed under the name uncultured Gammaproteobacteria bacterium. RNAcentral's name for it is "partial 16S ribosomal RNA". Lineage: Bacteria; Pseudomonadati; Pseudomonadota; Gammaproteobacteria. The record is from RNAcentral.
GUUGGGAGCUCUCCCAUAUGGUCGACCUGCAGGCGGCCGCGAAUUCACUAGUGAUUCGUAUUACCGCGGCUGCUGGCACAGAGUUAGCCGGUGCUUAUUCUGCGGGUACCGUCAUAGCAACGAGUUAUUCGCUCGUUACCUUUCUUCCCCACCUAAAGUGCUUUACAACCCGAAGGCCUUCUUCACACACGCGGCAUCGCUGGAUCAGGGUUUCCCCCAUUGUCCAAGAUUCCCCACUGCUGCCUCCCGUAGGAGUCUGGGCCGUGUCUCAGUCCCAGUGUGGCUGGUCAUCCUCUCAGACCAGCUACGGAUCGUCGCCUUGGUAGGCUUUUACCCCACCAACUAGCUAAUCCGACGUAGGCUCACCCCAGAGCGCAAGGCCUUUCGGUCCCCUGCUUUUGAUCUCUCGAUAUCAUGUGGUAUUAGCCCGAGUUUCCUCGGGUUAUCCCACGCUCCAGGACAGAUUCCUACGUGUUACUCACCCGUCCGCCACUCGCCACCCCAUAAAGACCGAAAUCUUUACUGUGCUGCCGUUCGACUUGCAUGUGUUAGGCAUGCCCCCAGCGUUCAAUCUGAGCCAUGAUCAAACUCUAAUCGAAUUCCCGCGGCCGCCAUGGC